Molecule: long non-coding RNA, 455 nt
Organism: Hippoglossus stenolepis (Pacific halibut)
Lineage: Eukaryota; Metazoa; Chordata; Actinopteri; Pleuronectiformes; Pleuronectidae
Exons: 3
Source: RefSeq, a predicted model, not a curated record
UUCCACCUGUGUCUUGUCAGCCAUGUGUUUCCCCUCAGUGCCAGUUUGUCUCUUCUGUUUUUCUAACAAUGUUCCAGCAUCUUCACCGUGUUUAUUCCCCCCCCAAUUGAUCAAGAUUUGUUUUCUUGACCUCACCUUUGUCUUUUUGGAUACCACUGCCUCCCAGACUGUCUCCAUGCUCACCUACUCACACCGAGGAAAAUGAAAAGACCGCGUCAAUCACAGCUCAGCUUUGGGAAAGAAAAAGACACGGGACAAGAUGAGGAGGUGAAGAAGAUGAGAGAAGAAGAGCAGGCACCUUGCAAAAAGAUUGUGCAGGUGUGCUAGAGGACACAUGAUGGAGGGACGAGGGAGCAAGAACUCCUCGCCCAUGUCUGGCUGGGAGUUACAGGAAACUGCCCGCCCACCUACACCUGUGACCUGCACCCAUUGGAUACUACAAGCUGUCAAUCACA